UACGGGGGGAGCAAGCGUUGUCCGGAUUGACUGGGCGUAAAGCGCACGCAGGCGGUUGCGCGCGUGGGGUGUGAAAUCUGGCCGCUUAACGGCCAGGCGCCAUCCCAUACGGCGCGACUGGAGUGAUGCAGAGGUCGAUGGAAUUGCCGGUGUAGUGGUGAAAUGCGUAGAGAUCGGCAGGAACACCCAGGGGGAAACCAGUCGACUGGGCAUCUACUGACGCUGAGGUGCGAGAGCGUGGGGAGCGAACCGG
RNAcentral lists this ribosomal RNA (253 nucleotides) under uncultured bacterium. RNAcentral's name for it is "partial 16S ribosomal RNA". It matches the Rfam family "Bacterial small subunit ribosomal RNA", at positions 524 to 776 of the family's 1533-position model. The record is from RNAcentral.